Molecule: ribosomal RNA, 377 nt
Filed under: uncultured bacterium
Lineage: Bacteria
Description: bacterial SSU rRNA
Rfam family: Bacterial small subunit ribosomal RNA
Source: RNAcentral
AUUGAACGCUGGCGGCAGGCCUAACACAUGCAAGUCGAACGGUAACAGGAAGCAGCUUGCUGCUUCGCUGACGAGUGGCGGACGGGUGAGUAAUGUCUGGGAAGCUGCCUGAUGGAGGGGGAUAACUACUGGAAACGGUAGCUAAUACCGCAUAAAUGUCGCAAGACCAAAGAGGGGGACCUUCGGGCCUCUUGCCAUCGGAUGUGCCAGAUGGGAUUAGCUUGUUGGUGGGGUAACGGCUCACCAAGGCGACGAUCCCUAGCUGGUCUGAGAGGAUGACCAGCCACACUGGAACUGAGACACGGUCCAGACUCCUACGGAGGCAGCAGUGGGAAUAUUGGCACAAUGGGCGCAAGCCUGAUGCAGCCAUGCCGCGU